This is a non-coding RNA of Malus domestica (apple), 1180 nucleotides long. The record is from RefSeq and is a predicted model, not a curated record. NCBI's taxonomy places the organism in Eukaryota, Viridiplantae, Streptophyta, Magnoliopsida, Rosales, Rosaceae.
ACCCUCCCCACCCCUCUCAUUCCCCACCCCAACAUCUCAAUCCCUCCCAACUUUUAACAUAAAAAACCUCCCAAUUCUAAAUCUUUUUUUCAGAAGAAAAUGGGUUUGAAUUCUAGUCAGUGGCUUAUGAAGCUGUUUGUUGUGACCACCUUGUUCCAAGUGUCAUUUGGUUCCAGCAGGUUGUUCCAAGUCUCAUUGGCAACGAGGAAGCUGAGCGAGCUUGUCCAAGAUCAAACCCAGCUCCUCAAAUACCACAACGGCCCUCUCCUCUCCGGCAAAAUUACCAUCAACCUCAUCUGGUACGGUAACUUCAAGCCCUCCCAGAAAGCCAUUGUUUCCGAUUUCAUCUCCUCUUUGUCCUCCUCCUCCCCUUCCAAAACCCCGCAACCCUCCGUCGCCGCCUGGUGGCAGACCACCGAGAAAUACUACCACCUCACCUCCAACAAAAAGUCCUCCAACUCCCUCUCCCUCUCUCUGGGGAGACAGAUUCUCGACCAAAGCUACUCCCUCGGCAAAUCCCUCACCACCAAACAGAUUGUCGCAUUGGCCGCAAAGGGCGACCAGAAAAACGCCAUCAAUGUUGUCCUGACAUCUGCCGACGUGGCUCUUUCAAAACCGGACACACCAAGGGCAGCAAGAACUCCAAGUUCGCUUACAUUUGGGUUGGAAACUCGGAAACCCAAUGCCCGGGGCAGUGCGCGUGGCCAUUCCACCAGCCCAUCUAUGGGCCCCAGAGCCCACCCCUUGUAGCCCCCAACAACGACGUGGGCCUCGACGGCAUGGUCAUCAAUCUGGCUAGCCUUAUGGCCGGGACAGCCACCAACCCAUUCGGAAAUGGAUACUUCCAGGGUCUGGCCGAGGCACCAUUAGAAGCUUCCUCGGCCUGCCCUGGGAUUUACGGGAAAGGAGCUUAUCCUGGUUAUGCCGGGGACCUGCUGCAGGACCCAACCACGGGCGCCAGCUACAAUGCCAAUGGUGCUAAUGGAAGGAAGUACUUGCUUCCUGCACUAUAUAAUCCUGCAACUUCAUCUUGUUCCACUUUGGUUUAGUGGCUAGAUUAAUUAGUACUAAUUAAUGUAUACGCAGCCUAUGUAGGUGUUACAUAAAUUCAUUGAUUCAAUUUAUUUUUGGUUAUGAGGGUUAUAUAUUAAAGACAGUAAAUUAUUUCGGUUUGCAUUCA